This is a long non-coding RNA of Bos taurus (domestic cattle), 1464 nucleotides long. NCBI's taxonomy places the organism in Eukaryota, Metazoa, Chordata, Mammalia, Artiodactyla, Bovidae. The record is from Ensembl.
GUGUCCGACUCUUUGUGACCCCAUGGACUAUAGCCUGUCAGGCUCCUCUGUCCGUGAAAUUCUCCAGGCAAGAGUACUGGAGUGGAUUGCCAUUCCCUUCUCCAAUGAGAUAUAUAGAACUCUACAAAUUAACAUUAUGGAAUAAUUACCCAAUUCUUAUAUUUCCACAGCAAUUAUGAAAUGACUCUAGAGUUUCAACAUGAAGUUUAAAGUUGGCCCUUUGCUUUAGUGAAUCAGGUAUGCAAAAAAAAAAAAGAAGAUGCUUUCUUUGCUUCAAAUUCCAUGGAACAAAAGAUAUAAACACACAGUUUUGCAGAAAGUUCCCCUGCUGCUGCUGCUGCUGCUGCUAAGUCGCUUCAGUCGUGUCCAACUCUGUGCGACCCCACAGAUGGCAGCCCACCAGGUUCUCCCGUCCCUGGGAUUCUCCAGGCAAGAACACUGAAGUGGGUUGACAUUUCCUCCUCCAAAGCAUGAAAGUGAAAAGUGAAAGUGAAGUCGCUCAGUCGUGUCUGACUCUUAGCGAUCCCAUGGACUACAGCCUACCAGGCUCCUCCGUCCAUGGGAUUUUCCAGGCAAGAAUACCGGAGUGGGGUGCCAUUGCCUUCUCCGUCUAGUUCCCCUACCUUAGCUGAAAUCUGUGCCUCCCAGUUGCCAAGAAAAUCUGCAUGCCAAUAUGACACAUUCUGAAGAGACUUAUUCUGAAUUCCAUCAAUACAUACAUAUUUCCACCAGAAGGAUUACUGAGAGAAUCUUUCAUCUUUUAUUCCUUUUAUCUUUAAAAAUAAUACAUGUUUGGAAAAUAGGAACAAUAUUUGUGAGAGAAAUUACUUUUUCAUUGUGGAGUAAGAACAGUGAUAUUUUAAAAUGAAAACAUUGUGGGGUGAAAAGAGAUGUUAAGGUUAUGGCAGUUUAUUCCUAUACAGUCUACUGUUUUUCAGUGCUAUCUUUUCUCCUGAAAUUUUAUUUAAAGCAAAAUGGCAGAAACUUGCUCUUUAAAAAAAUUCUAUUUGCUUAGUGUCAGUUAAGGAAAAAAAAUCUCAUAUGUGAGAAUAGUAGAGAGGAUAUCAAUAGAUAUUUCACUUUCCAUAUGGAGAACAUAACCCAGUGGAUUAGGUCUAGCUGUGACCACAGGAGUUUUCUAGCUGGAAGCAGAUGGUUAGUUAUAACUAGUACAUACAUAAAACAGCUACCUCCCUUAAAACCUCAGCAGUAAUCUCAUUUUAUUUUCAGACUAGUUUUUCAAAAAGAGUAUCUAAAAUGUGGAGCGAUACAUAUAAAUUAUAAAACUGAAAAAAAUUGCUUUCUUUUUAUCUGGGAGAGAAGAGGUCAUGUGUUACACUAUAGCUGUCUUUUGGUGAGAAUAUCACAGCUUAAUUUGAUUUGGUGCUUUUGAACUGUGGUGUUGGAGAAGACUCUUGAGAGUCCCUUGGACUGCAAGGAGAUCCAAUUAGUCCAUCCUAAAGG